Molecule: long non-coding RNA, 387 nt
Filed under: Homo sapiens (human)
Lineage: Eukaryota; Metazoa; Chordata; Mammalia; Primates; Hominidae
Description: non-protein coding lnc-NR2F2-2:8
Source: RNAcentral
ACACUCGGCUCCGCAGCCGGGCCCCGAGCGAGCUCCGCGAGUCCUGGCGAGAGCCGAGGGCUCCCCGGGUUCAAAGGGCCGCAGCCCCGAGGGAACGCCCUCCUUGCUGUGCCCCGGGGGGCAGAAGCGGACUGCUGGGCGGUGGGACCGGCCUGGGCCACGGAACAGAUGUGGACUUGGGCUGUCCACCCCCACCCACUCUUGCUGAGGUGUCUCACUACUGCCCAGACAUGUGAAUUCAUGUGAGAGCUGGUAUGAGUUGUGGUCACAGGACAAAGGAGGCUAACCGGGCAUGAUUCUCAACUUUGGCUUCAAUCAUGCCAUUUUCUACCAACUAAGCCUCUAGAGUCAAACUUGAAGAACUAUCACGUGGAACUCUUGAAGAAU